Molecule: ribosomal RNA, 1241 nt
Filed under: metagenome
Description: bacterial LSU rRNA
Rfam family: Bacterial large subunit ribosomal RNA
Source: RNAcentral
UGAAUACGAGACGCUAAGGCGUCGAAGUAGUGUAUGUCAUACUUCCAAGAAAAGCUUGCACUGUCAUAGAUAAAAAACGCCUGUACCAUAACCGACACAGGUGGGUAGGUAGAGUAUACUAAGGGGCGCGAGAUAACUCUCUCUAAGGAACUCGGCAAAAUAACUCCGUAACUUCGGGAGAAGGAGUGCCUUAUUCGUAAGGUUGCAAUAACAAGAUCCAAGCAACUGUUUAUCAAAAACACAGGUCUCCGCUAAGUCGUAAGACGAUGUAUGGGGGCUGACGCCUGCCCAGUGCCAGAAGGUUAAAGAAGUUGGUUAGCAAUUGCGAAGCUGAUAACUGAAGCCCUGGUGAACGGCGGCCGUAACAAUAACGGUCCUAAGGUAGCGAAAUUCCUUGUCGGGUAAGUUCCGACCCGCACGAAAGGCGUAAUGAUUUGGAUACUGUCUCGGAGAGGGGCUCGGUGAAAUAGACUUGUCUGUGAAGAUGCGGACUACCUGCACCAGGACAGAAAGACCCUAUGAAGCUUUACUGUAACUUGAAAUUGAAAUUGGACUUUAUUCGCGCAGUAUAGGUGGGAGGCGUUGAUUAUAAUCUUGUGGGAUUAUUGGAGCCAUCAGUGAGAUACCACUCUUGUAAUGUUAGAUUUCUAACUUUGAAUCAUUAUCUGGUCAAAGAACAGUUUCAGGCGGGCAGUUUGACUGGGGCGGUCGCCUCCUAAACGGUAACGGAGGCGUACAAAGGUUUCCUCUGAACGGUUAGAAAUCGUAUCUAGAGUGUAAAGGCAUAAGGAAGCUUGACUGUGAGACCUACAAGUCGAGCAGGGACGAAAGUCGGUCUUAGUGAUCUGACGGUACUGAGUGGAAAGGCCGUCACUCAACGGAUAAAAGUUACUCUAAGGAUAACAGGCUGAUCUCCCCCAAGAGUUCACAUCGACGGGGAGGUUUGGCACCUCGAUGUCGGCUCAUCGCAUCCUGGGGCGGUAGUACGUCCCAAGGGUUGGGCUGUUCGCCCAUGAAAGCGGUACGCGGGCUGGGUUCAGAACGUCGUGAGACAGUUCGGUCCAUAUCCGGUGUAGGCGUUAGAAUAUUGAGAGGAGCCUUCUUUAGUACGAGAGGACCGAGAAGGACAUACCUCUGGUGUACCAGUUAUCGUGCCAACGGUAAACGCUGGGUAGCUAUGUAUGGAGUGGAUAACCGCUGAAAGCAUCUAAGUGGGAAGCCCACCUCAAGAUAAGUAUUCC